UGGGGAAUUUUGGACAAUGGGGGCAACCCUGAUCCAGCAAUGCCGCGUGAGUGAAGAAGGCCUUCGGGUUGUAAAGCUCUUUUGUCAGGGAAGAAACGGUGAAGGCUAAUAUCCUUUGCUAAUGACGGUACCUGAAGAAUAAGCACCGGCUAACUACGUGCCAGCAGCCGCGGUAAUACGUAGGGUGCAAGCGUUAAUCGGAAUUACUGGGCGUAAAGCGAGCGCAGGCGGUUAUGUAAGUCAGAUGUGAAAUCCCCGGGCUUAACCUGGGAAUGGCAUUUGAGACUGCAUAGCUAGAGUGUGUCAGAGGGGGGUAGAAUUCCACGUGUAGCAGUGAAAUGCGUAGAUAUGUGGAGGAAUACCGAUGGCGAAGGCAGCCCCCUGGGAUAACACUGACGCUCAUGCACGAGAGCGUGGGGAGCAAACAG
RNAcentral lists this ribosomal RNA (428 nucleotides) under uncultured bacterium. Its description in RNAcentral is "bacterial SSU rRNA". It matches the Rfam family "Bacterial small subunit ribosomal RNA", at positions 355 to 775 of the family's 1533-position model. The record is from RNAcentral.